GGGGAUUUAGCUCAGUGGUAGAGCGCUCGCCUGGCAAGCGCAAGGCCCUGGGUUCGGUCCCCAGCUCCA
This 69-nucleotide transfer RNA is filed under the name Rattus norvegicus (Norway rat). It matches the Rfam family "tRNA". Rfam says of the family: Transfer RNA (tRNA) molecules are approximately 80 nucleotides in length. Their secondary structure includes four short double-helical elements and three loops (D, anti-codon, and T loops). Lineage: Eukaryota; Metazoa; Chordata; Mammalia; Rodentia; Muridae. The record is from Rfam by way of RNAcentral.